CUGAUGCAGCCAUGCCGCGUGUGUGAAGAAGGCCUUCGGGUUGUAAAGCACUUUCAGYARGGAGGAAARSUWWKURUUUAAUACCCRCUAGCUGUGACGUUACUGACAGAAGAAGCACCGGCUAACUCCGUGCCAGCAGCCGCGGUAAUACGGAGGGUGCAAGCKUUAAUCGGAAUUACUGGGMGUAWAGSGUGCGUAGGKGGYUWGUUAAGUCWGAUGUGAAAUCCCCGGGCUCAACCUGGGAACUGCAUUUGGUACUGUCAAACUAGAGUAUGGGAGAGGGAGGUAGAAUUUCUGGUGUAGCGGUGAAAUGCGUAGAGAUUGGAAGGAAUACCGGUGGCGAAGGCAGCUUCCUGGAAUAAUACUGACGCUGAGGCACGAAAGCGUGGGUAGCAAACAGGAUUAGAUACCCUGGUAGUCCACGCCGUAAACGAUGGAUACUAGCUGUUGGGAGCAAUCUCAGUGGCUAAGCGAAAGCGAU
RNAcentral lists this ribosomal RNA (481 nucleotides) under uncultured Alphaproteobacteria bacterium. RNAcentral describes it as "partial 16S ribosomal RNA". It matches the Rfam family "Bacterial small subunit ribosomal RNA", at positions 383 to 861 of the family's 1533-position model. The record is from RNAcentral. Lineage: Bacteria; Pseudomonadati; Pseudomonadota; Alphaproteobacteria.